AGGCACUUAGUGCUAUGAACUUUUCUCUUAGCAUUGCUUUCAAAGAUUUGAAUAAGUUUGGGUAUGUUGUGAAUCCACUUUUGUUGAUUUGUAGGAAGUCUUUAAUUUCUGCAACAUGGAUGGGUUAGACUUUGAAAACUAUUCUAUGGUUCUACAUUCUUUAUCAUGGAACCAGGACAUGGAGAAUGAAGACAAACUAAACCAGGUGCUAGCCAAAAUUCGGGAACUCUGCAUCCAUCCCAGCUGUGAAUCCCUCUCUGUUGAAAAGUUUGCAGACACUUCUUUCAUUCUGCAGCAGUCUCUUAACUCCAGUGAUUUUGCCAUGUAAUACCAUUUAUCAACUUUAUGUUUAUUGUCUGUGCUUUUCUGACUUAAAAAAAGUAUUGCCUGUACUUUCAUCUUCAAGUAUCUCCCUCAUAUUUUCUUCUACAUAGUUUUACAGUUUCAAUUUUGCAUACUGGUGUUUGAUCCAUUUUUGUAUAGGACGAAAAACAGGAACAAAGUUCACUCUUCCAUGUCCAGGGUUCUGC
Molecule: long non-coding RNA, 530 nt
Filed under: Cricetulus griseus (Chinese hamster)
Lineage: Eukaryota; Metazoa; Chordata; Mammalia; Rodentia; Cricetidae
Description: lncRNA (ENSCGRG00000024923.1)
Source: RNAcentral